AUGAAACUACAGAAUAGAGGAAUGGAAGUGGAUACAAGAUGUCCAGUAUGCCAUCGAAUGGAUGAAGAUGGAGGUCAUUGUUUCCUAAAGUGCAAAUUUGUCAAGGCCGUUUGGAGAACUGCAUUGUUGGAAGAAAGUCGGAUGCAACUUCUCAAUUGCCCAAAUGCCAUCUCGAUGGUGGAGGAUAUCUUGCACAUGGAAAAGGAAAAAUGUCUGAAAGUAUGCAUCCUUUUGUGGUUAUGGUGGUCUGAAAGAAACAGAGCUAAUCAAGGAGAAAGGAUUAGGACUGAAGAGGAAAUUAUAUAUUCAGUUCAGCUGCACUUGUUGGAAUACAAAAAAUACAUCAAGCGACACGAGCAAAAUGUGCAGGCUGUAAACCAGUUGCAGGAGCAGGGAGUUUGGAAAAUGUUGCUGAACCACUACAAGCUGAAGCUCUGGACAUGCUCUAUGCUGUGA
This 456-nucleotide ribosomal RNA is filed under the name Triticum aestivum (bread wheat). RNAcentral's name for it is "partial small subunit ribosomal RNA". The record is from RNAcentral. Lineage: Eukaryota; Viridiplantae; Streptophyta; Magnoliopsida; Poales; Poaceae.